CCCUUAUAUGUUCUGGGCUGCACGCGUGAUACACUGAUACAUACAAUAAGUUCCUAGUCCGGAAGGACAAGGUAAUCUGUAAUAUGUAUCGUGAUGGGGAUAGAUCUUUGUAAUUAUAGAUCUUGAACGAGGAAUUCCUAGUAAGCGUAAGUCAACAUCUUACGCUGAUUACGUCCCUGUCCUUUGUACACACCGCCCGUCGCUUAUACCGAUUGAAUUUUUAGGUGAACCUUUUGGAUCGCUUUCUGCGAAAAGAAAAGUAAAUCUUAAAAUUUAGAGGAAUAAAAANUCGUAACA
RNAcentral lists this ribosomal RNA (297 nucleotides) under uncultured eukaryote. RNAcentral describes it as "partial 18S ribosomal RNA". It matches the Rfam family "Eukaryotic small subunit ribosomal RNA", at positions 1470 to 1796 of the family's 1831-position model. The record is from RNAcentral.